Ostrinia nubilalis (European corn borer) is the source of this 676-nucleotide long non-coding RNA. RefSeq lists it as uncharacterized. The transcript has 3 exons. The record is from RefSeq and is a predicted model, not a curated record. Lineage: Eukaryota; Metazoa; Arthropoda; Insecta; Lepidoptera; Crambidae.
CCCAAUGUUAACCACAGCCCGAUUUUGGAUAAUGCAACCAGCAAUUCCUCAAUCUCAUGAGGAACCUAUGAUAUGUAUCAAUUGUAUAGCUGACAUGAUGCAGAGGAGGCGACAUAGCCUAGAGCUUAUUAAGUUCAGUUGGUUAUUAUGUCAGUGGAUGACUCUUCAGCUGAUUGAUAACAGCAGUGUAUGUUGUCACUCAUGUUGGACCGUGGCCACGGUGUGGCUCUGCACCAAUCAAGGACAAAUAAUAUUUCAAAUGAAGAAGCAACCACUAGCACUGGUCACAGUUAACGUGGAUUAUCUUUGUUACAAAUACGUUCCAUAGACUGCAUAUUAACACGGAACAAGAAUCACAUAUUUGAAAAUAAUGUAAUAAUGGAACAGAUUUCACCUCGUCAACUGCGGGGAUCUGACCAAAUAUGUCAUCCCUGAUGGCAGUGAGCUGAUCGAGCUGCUACACAUGCUGUGGAGCCCCAACAAACACAUGAUGGGACGAGGAUUCAUUUGCCCUUAUAUUGGCCGAAUAACAGUAGGUUGCUGUGCUCAUGUUAUGACAAUUUUGUGGUUUUUGAGCUGGGCAAGGUAUCAGGAACAUGUAUUUCCACCUGCCUAGUUCCUAGACAAUAUUUUAUUGACCCAUGAGUCAGAUUAAAAUAAUAAUAAUAAAAAAAAA